UACGUAGGGGGCGAGCGUUAUCCGGAUUUAUUGGGCGUAAAGGGUGCGUAGGCGGUUUGUUAAGUCUAAGAUUAAAGCCCGGAGCUUAACUCCGGUUCGUUUUAGAAACUGGCAGACUUGAGUAUGGUAGAGGCAAGUGGAAUUUCUAGUGUAGCGGUUAAAUGCGUAGAUAUUAGAAGGAACACCAGUGGCGAAGGCGGCUUGCUGGGCCAUCACUGACGCUGAGGCACGAAAGCGUGGGGAGCAAAUA
RNAcentral lists this ribosomal RNA (250 nucleotides) under uncultured prokaryote. RNAcentral describes it as "partial 16S ribosomal RNA". It matches the Rfam family "Bacterial small subunit ribosomal RNA", at positions 524 to 774 of the family's 1533-position model. The record is from RNAcentral.